RNAcentral lists this long non-coding RNA (1188 nucleotides) under Glycine max (soybean). RNAcentral describes it as "long non-coding RNA (GMAX_LNC001390)". Lineage: Eukaryota; Viridiplantae; Streptophyta; Magnoliopsida; Fabales; Fabaceae. The record is from RNAcentral.
CAACUGUAAAUAACGGUGACCUGCACAAGUUUUUUGUUGAUGUAGCUGGGAAUUUGCUUGGUAUCAAUAAAGUUGACACUAACAUGGAACAAGACAUGGCCGCUGAAGACUUCGCAUUCUAUCAAGAGUUCAUACCUGGCUACUACUUCACUCUUGGAAUGGAGAUUGCUUCAUCUGAACCGGUUGCGCCAUUACACUCGCCCUAUCUUGUAAUCAAUGAAGAUGGACUUCCCUAUGGGGCUGCACUUCAUGCAUCACUGGCCACUGGCUAUCUAUAUCAGCAGGACGUAGCCAAGGUAGUCGGGAAAUAUCAUGAUCAAUUAUAAGUGUUAACAAUUGUUAAAAGCUAAUGCAGUCUUAUUUCUUGCAACAAUGACCUGAUAUGUGUCAUUGUUUUACAGUUUUAACAGUCACAUGGUUUAGAUUCCUAAGUGCUUUCCCUUUAAAGUCACUGGUUGUGCAUUUAGCUAAUGGGAAAAUGGGAGUAAUAAAGAUAAAAGGAGUGCUAGAAAUACCUGGAGACACAUAUUUUAGAGUUUAAUGAUGAUACACUAAUCAUGUAAAAUAAUUUUUCACUUUAAUUCAAUUACUCAUAAAUUAUUAUUAAUAUGACUUUUAAGAUAAUUUUGUAGAAAUCAACUAAGUUAUCAUUAUUGAUGGUUCGUGAUUGAAUAAUAAUGUAAAAUUAUUUUGUAUGAUUGUUUUUUUUUUCUUUUCUGUUUUAACACACUUUUUUUUUAAACUACAAAACUAAAGGUGAUAUUCAUUAAAUAAGACUUGAGACUCACCAAAUUUUGUAAUUUUUUUCUAUCUUAAAUCUCUAAAAUCCCUACUAUCUAGAGAAUUUUAUAUUGUUUUAAUCAAAUAUAUUAAUUGUAUAAUGGAAAUAAUAAUGACACCUAUAUAGAGUGCAAAUAAAUCUCUAUUAUAAAAAAUACACAUAAAAAAGAGAGGGUGUUACUCAUACUUUAUUUAUAAUGGUAGUAGCAUUAUUUGAUUUCAUGAAACUUUUCAAUAAUGAAAAGAUGGUGUUAAAAAAAAUGUGUUUCAUCCAAUAAUGCUUUAGCAAAGUGUGACAAUAAAGAGAUCAAAUCUGUACCAGGUUGGAGUGGAUGUGGACCCUCACAAUCUUACUAAGCAAAAGAAACAACGUCGAUUGCUGUUUUACUAUCCUCGUUCCUUCCUUCC